RNAcentral lists this long non-coding RNA (395 nucleotides) under Elaeis guineensis (African oil palm). RNAcentral describes it as "long non-coding RNA (EGUI_LNC000399)". The record is from RNAcentral. Lineage: Eukaryota; Viridiplantae; Streptophyta; Magnoliopsida; Arecales; Arecaceae.
AACCAGUGAAUUAGAUCAAACCAUCUACAACCAAGAUAUACAAGUAUAUGGAGAAAUAAGAGAACCAAAAAAAAGGCCACAAGCACAACAACACAACAUAAGAAAUUACGUGGUUCACCUGGACUACAUCCACAGGUACGGAGAAGAUCAAAAUACACUAUCAACUUUGAGAAGAAAUUACCACUCAACAACAAUGGGCUUACUACUUUUUAAUAGAAAAUCCUUUUCUCGCUACACCUUCUGAGCACUCUUCCGACCCCACGAAGCCCGCUUCAGAAUGCUCUAGAAAUUCUUCCAAAUAACCUUGAAAGCUUUGACAAGCAAGAAGAAUAAGAAAACUCACCACCAUUAAAACCCUCUUCUCAUCUCUCUUCUCUAUAUCAAGAAAAGAGAAU